RNAcentral lists this small RNA (148 nucleotides) under Neoaquamicrobium sediminum. Its description in RNAcentral is "Alphaproteobacterial sRNA ar45". It matches the Rfam family "Alphaproteobacterial sRNA ar45". Lineage: Bacteria; Pseudomonadati; Pseudomonadota; Alphaproteobacteria; Hyphomicrobiales; Phyllobacteriaceae. The record is from RNAcentral.
GCCCAAAGUCGCACGUGCCUGUGGGUGUCCGCCGUCCCCUCGUUCGGUGAGGAAAACGGUAAGGUACCUGGAGCCAACCACUCCAGUCGGUCAGACGGCCAACCGCCUGAACCGAGGACACCUUGAAGCAACGACGGUGCGGGCCUUU